Molecule: ribosomal RNA, 253 nt
Filed under: uncultured bacterium
Lineage: Bacteria
Description: partial 16S ribosomal RNA
Rfam family: Bacterial small subunit ribosomal RNA
Source: RNAcentral
UACGUAGGUGGCAAGCGUUGUCCGGAAUUAUUGGGCGUAAAGCGCGCGCAGGCGGUCCUUUAAGUCUGAUGUGAAAGCCCACGGCUCAACCGUGGAGGGUCAUUGGAAACUGGGGGACUUGAGUACAGAAGAGAAGAGUGGAAUUCCACGUGUAGCGGUGAAAUGCGUAGAGAUGUGGAGGAACACCAAUGGCGAAAGCACUUUACUGGGCUAUUACUGACACUGAGAGACGAAAGCUAGGGUAGCAAAUGGG